Molecule: RNA transcript, 3665 nt
Organism: Quercus robur (English oak)
Lineage: Eukaryota; Viridiplantae; Streptophyta; Magnoliopsida; Fagales; Fagaceae
Gene name: disease resistance protein RGA2-like
Exons: 6
Source: RefSeq, a predicted model, not a curated record
AAUAUGGGACGGUUGACUUGCCUUCAAACAUUGAAUUCUUUUAGUGUGGGUCGAGAUGAAGGUUAUAGGAUUAAAGAAAUGGGACCCUUAAAGAAUCUCAGAGGAGAAAUAAACAUAUACAAUUUAGAGACGGUGAAAGAUGAGGAAGAAGCCAAAAGUGCAAAAUUAAAAGAAAAGGAAAUAUUCAAGUUGGGAUUAUUUUGGAGUCGUUUUCAUGGACAAUUGGAUAGGUAUGAUAAAGAUGAAAAGGUGUUGGAAGGCCUCCAUCCUCACCCAAAUUUGAAAAGCUUAACAAUCGCAUGGUAUGGAGGAAAGAAAUUCCCCUCUUGGGUUAAUGAUUUGUCGCUAUUUCACAAUCUGAUUCAUAUCAUAUUGAAUUCGUGUGAGGAAUGUGAAGAAGUUCCCACUCUCGGGCAUUUACCCUGUCUUAGGGUUCUUGAAAUAGAAGGCAUGGGGAAGGUAAGAAGUAUAGGAAGUGAGUUUUACGGUAACAGUGAUGGGAGUUAUAGAAAUGCUACUACAUUAUUUCCGGCAUUGAGAAUACUCAAAUUGGAGUACAUGAGUUUACUCUAGAAGAGUGGAAGGAUGCAGGUGAGGUGUUGUCGGUGUUUCCUUGCCUUGAGGAGUUGACCAUACGAUACUGUGAGAAACUGAGAUAUUUGCCAGACUCACUGCAUACCUGCAUUUCCCUUUGGGAUUUGGUAGUAGUGCGUUGUACUAACCUGAGGUAUUUGCCAAGUGUCCCGUCAGUUAUUCGACACUUGGAGAUAAUAGGGUGUGAUAUUGAUGAACUACCCAUGAAGCUACAAUUCUGUACAUCUCUUCAAUAUUUGAAGAUUGAGAAAUGUCUGAAUCUGAAAUUUAUUCCAGAAUCACUGCACACCUGCCAGAAGUUUUUAGUACAGGAUUCUCCUGAGCUGAGGUAUUUGCCAGGUGUCCCGUCAGGUAUUCAACACUUGGAGAUAAUAAGGUGUGGUAUUAAUGAACUACCCAGUGGGCUACAAUCCUGUGCAUCUCUUCAGUAUUUGGAGAUUAGGAAAUGUCAAAAUCUGAAAUCAAUUCCAGAUUUAGGAGAAGUAUUUCAUUCUCUUAUUAAUUUAAAAAUUAGCAACUGUCCUGAUCUAAGACUGAAGCUUUUGCGAGAAGGCCGCUUAAAGACUUUGGUAAUCGGUGGGUUUAUUGAAGAGUUGGAUGCUUUCCCAAGUCUGCGUUAUCCUUUCAUUCAAUACUCACACGCGUCCCUCAAAAAGCUAAUAUUGCGUGGGAGGCCUACGCUCAACUCUCUCCCGAACGAAAUUCAACUUUUCACUGCCCUUGAAGAGCUGCGGAUACAGAACUUUAACGGAAUGGAAGCUUUGCCUGAUUGGCUAGGCAAUCUUUCUUGUCUUCAAAAGCUGUCUCUUGACUAUUGCAAAAAGCUGAUGUAUCUUCCCAUUCUACACCUCACCAAUUUAAAACAUCUGCACAUUGAUAAUUGCCGCAAUUUAGAGAAAAGAUGGGCAGAAGGGAGCGGCGUUGAGUGGUCCCAGAUUGCCCAUAUUCCAAACAUCAAAAUCAAUGGUAAAUACAUCCAAGGGAAGAAUUCUGAGGACUUUGAUAGCUUUUACGACGCUGAUGAAGAAUUUGACGUCAUUGACGACUCUGAUAGCUUUUACUACAACUGGCAAGAAGAUUCCAUCUUGGAAAAUAACCAACUCAAUGACAACUGGUGCGAAGGUACUUCAGGUUUGGAAAAUAACCAACUCGAUGACAACUGAUGCCAAGGGACAGCAUAUCUAUUGUGUUCAGCCAGAGGAAAAAUUAAUUUACUUAUGGAGUUUUAAUCUAGCCGCAAGCUAAUGGAAGCUUAUAAGAUUUGGCAAAUGCAAUUGAGACAAUAUGCCUAUUGUUUCCAGCUGGUGGAACAAUUGAUUAUAAUUGCAAGCUGAUGAGCAGAGGAGGAAUGUAUAUACUUAUUAUUGAGAGAGCAAUCUUCAAGGACAGGAAGCUGGGGUUGGGCUGAUAAUCAGAGUUGCACAGGGACUACUUAUAGCUGUGAUGAGUAAGAGAAUUUUGUGUAUGAAUCCAACGAAAUCGAGGUGAUUGUUGCUGACUACUGACAGAGAGUUUUGCAAACUAUCAAAUAUAUGAAGGUACAUAUGAUCUGUUUGCAUCUGGGAAAAUAAUCAACUCGAUUCAACUGAUGGCAAGGCAUGGGGUACAACAUAUCUAUUGUGUUUAGCUGGAGGAAAAAUUUAUUCAUGGAGCUUUAAUACACUGCUAAGAAAACGGAAGAGAAGAAUAUCCGUCACUGCCCCAAAUUAAAGGAAAGAUGUGCAAAGGGGAGCGGUGCAGAGUGGGUGGUCUAGGAUUUCCUUCCCACAUUCCAAAUAUCAUUUUUUGUUGAAUUUAUCAAAGAAGAAGCAGUUUGAAGAUCGUAUACAUUAUUAAGAUGGAUGACCGGUAAGUUCUCUCACCUCACCCUCCUUUCUUUUCUAAUACUCUCCUUAACAACAACAUAAGAGUGUUUUUUUUAAUUGCUCCCAAUUCCUUCAUUUCUCCUUUAAUCAAUAAAAAAGUUGCCAUUAAGUGCAGACACUAGGGAUAGCAUAUCUAUUGUAUUUAGCCAGAGGAAAAAUGAAUUAACUUAUGGACUUUUAAUCUAGCCACAAGCUAUGGGAAGUUUAUGAGAAUUGUUAAGUUUCUGUAAUCUUCGCUUGUCUUCAAAUAUAUGAAGUACUAAUUCAAUCCAAUAAGUAUACCAUUUAUGCCAAUUAUCCCCUCUUCCCUUUCACUUUUCCUACAAUAGCAUCUAUUUCAUCUUGGUAUUCUGAUGAUAUUCUAAUACUAUUCACGUGUUGAUGUCAUUGUAUCAAUGUUGUAAGUGACAGGUAGCACUUGACAUUUCUUCUAAUGUAAAAAGCCACCAGAAUUCCUUAUUUAUCAGAGGAUUUUUUUUCCAAUGUCAAGGAUACUUCACACACCACCCAUUUUGGAGCCUAAUCUUCUUUUGGCUGUCAGAGCUGUUUGGCCAGCUUUGACACCUAUAUGUGCUUAGUUGGAGGCAUUAAAUUCUGACGAUGUUGGAGCCUCUGCAUAUGUUCUGUGGUAACUUUUCGUCUUUGUAAGAACUGAAGUUCUGGAACAAGAACUGCUACUACCUACCAACAAUGCAGGAGGUGCCCUCACUUUCUAUGGAAAGCUAAAUGGAAGAUUCCUGGAGUGGUUGUCAAAGCUGGAUGCUUUGUUUCUUACUGUUUGCUAGAGUUCCAUUGGUAGAAGAUUGGUCAUACUCCAAGAAUCACAGUGGGGAAAUUUAAAUUGGUUCCAAUGCAAUUGACUUAGUGAAAUUUGCACUGGCAUAUCUGAUGUGUUCAGCUGGAGGAAACAUUUAUUCAUGGAGCUUUUAACCCACCCUGAAUCCAACCGAAGAGCUAAAUAUCCUUUCAUUGCUCCAAAUUAAUUGAAAGAUGUGUGCAAAAGCAUGUGGUGCAGAGUGGUCUAGGAUUUCCCACAUUCCAAAUAUCUAUUUUAAUGAAUGUAUUAAACAAGAAGCUGUCUGAAGAUCAUGUACAUUAUUAAGAUGGAUGACCAGUAAGUUUCAGACAAUUAAAAUCUCUGACAUGGUAGAAGUUCUUUUGUAAUAUAAAAGGAAAUGGAAAAGAAUCCGUCUUCUUUUUGGUCAA